AAGUCGUAACAAGGUAACCGUAGGUGAACCUGCGGUUGGAUCAUUAACAAAUUUUCAACAAGCCAAAAAAGGAUUUUUAAUCUUUUUUUGGUCUUGAACAAUUUUGUGAACUGUUUUAACGUUUUUUUGGGUAGGUUUGCGUGGUUCUUUUCAUUAAGACCGCAAACGAAGGUUGAGCAGUAAAUUUUUUUUUAUUGUUCUUGCCUACCCAAGUGUAAUUUUAGACCUUAGUAGAAAAACUUGUCUUUAAAUAAAAAAAUUGAUUUUUUUUGAUAAAAAAAGAAAAAACAACUUUUGACA
This 300-nucleotide unclassified non-coding RNA is filed under the name fungal sp. RNAcentral describes it as "partial contains small subunit ribosomal RNA and internal transcribed spacer 1". The stretch from base 1 to 46 matches the Rfam family "Eukaryotic small subunit ribosomal RNA", at positions 1786 to 1831 of the family's 1831-position model. The record is from RNAcentral. Lineage: Eukaryota; Fungi.